RNAcentral lists this ribosomal RNA (164 nucleotides) under uncultured bacterium. RNAcentral's name for it is "partial 16S ribosomal RNA". It matches the Rfam family "Bacterial small subunit ribosomal RNA", at positions 355 to 511 of the family's 1533-position model. The record is from RNAcentral.
UAGGGAAUCUUCCACAAUGGGCGAAAGCCUGAUGGAGCAACGCCGCGUGUGUGAUGAAGGAUUUCGGCUCGUAAAACACUGUUGUAAGAGAAGAAUGACAUUGAGAGUAACUGUUCAAUGUGUGACGGUAUCUUACCAGAAAGGAACGGCUAAAUACGUGCCCG